RNAcentral lists this ribosomal RNA (468 nucleotides) under uncultured bacterium. Its description in RNAcentral is "partial 16S ribosomal RNA". It matches the Rfam family "Bacterial small subunit ribosomal RNA", at positions 28 to 507 of the family's 1533-position model. The record is from RNAcentral.
GACGAACGCUGGCGGCGUGCUUAACACAUGCAAGUCGAACGGAAAGGCCCUGCUUUUGUGGGGUGCUCGAGUGGCGAACGGGUGAGUAACACGUGAGUAACCUGCCCUUGACUUUGGGAUAACUUCAGGAAACUGGGGCUAAUACCGGAUAGGAGCUCCUGCUGCAUGGUGGGGGGUGGAAAGUGUCGGCGGUGGGGGAUGGACUCGCGGCUUAUCAGCUUGUUGGUGGGGUAGUGGCUUACCAAGGCUUUGACGGGUAGCCGGCCUGAGAGGGUGACCGGCCACAUUGGGACUGAGAUACGGCCCAGACUCCUACGGGAGGCAGCAGUGGGGAAUAUUGCACAAUGGGCGGAAGCCUGAUGCAGCAACGCCGCGUGCGGGAUGACGGCCUUCGGGUUGUAAACCGCUUUCGCCUGUGACGAAGCGUGAGUGACGGUAAUGGGUAAAGAAGCACCGGCUAACUACGUG